Molecule: ribosomal RNA, 420 nt
Filed under: uncultured bacterium
Lineage: Bacteria
Description: bacterial SSU rRNA
Rfam family: Bacterial small subunit ribosomal RNA
Source: RNAcentral
GAAUUUUUCACAAUGGGGGAAACCCUGAUGGUGCAACGCCGCGUGGGGAAUGAAGGCCUUCGGGUCGUAAACCCCUGUCACAAGGGACUAAACGUAUGGCUCAUACCCAUACUUGAAUUAACCUUGAGAGGAAGAGGUGGCUAACUCCGUGCCAGCAGCCGCGGUAAUACGGAGACCUCGAGCGUUACUCGGAUUUACUGGGCGUAAAGGGUUCGUAGGCGGACUCAUAUGUCGGGUGUGAAAUCCCACGGCUUAACCGUGGACCUGCGCCCGAAACUAUGAGUCUAGAGUACAGGAGAGGUGAGUGGAAUUCCAGGUGUAGCGGUGAAAUGCGUAGAUAUCUGGAGGAACACCAACGGCGAAGGCAGCUCACUGGACUGUAACUGACGCUGAGGAACGAAAGCAUGGGGAGCAAAAGGG